UAGACCUCACCCACCCGGUUUUUCAUUAAGCUUGUGGUUGUGGUGCUUUGGACGUUUUUGCCAUUUAACGUGGCUCGUCUUAAAAGUCUAAGUGGAACAGCGUGAUAAGUUCUUCGCUAUCAUUCCACUCUAACAAAACACUUUAAU
This 147-nucleotide unclassified non-coding RNA is filed under the name uncultured Basidiomycota. RNAcentral describes it as "sequence contains ITS2". Lineage: Eukaryota; Fungi; Basidiomycota. The record is from RNAcentral.